This is a non-coding RNA of Trichonephila inaurata madagascariensis, 72 nucleotides long. The record is from the annotation of a GenBank genome assembly. NCBI's taxonomy places the organism in Eukaryota, Metazoa, Arthropoda, Arachnida, Araneae, Nephilidae.
GGAGGUAUAGCUCAGUGGUAGAGCAUUAGGCUGUAAAUCCAGAGGUCUCCGGUUCAAACCCGGGUGUCUCCU